RNAcentral lists this long non-coding RNA (1114 nucleotides) under Vulpes vulpes (red fox). RNAcentral describes it as "lncRNA (ENSVVUG00000007639.1)". The record is from RNAcentral. Lineage: Eukaryota; Metazoa; Chordata; Mammalia; Carnivora; Canidae.
UGAAAAGCUGCGGCCAAGAGAGUGACAUCUAUCAUACUGGCCCAUGUUACCUUGGUUACAACUGUCACAUGGCCACCGUGUCUUUGAAGGGAGGCUGGGCUGGGAGAUGGAGCAUAAUCCUCUGCCCCAAAAAGAGCCCCGCUUCCAGGACGGAUCCCCAGAGGACAGAAGGCCCCUCCUCCGUCUCCAGCAGGGACAACACUGCAAGGUGGGUGCCACCUGGGUCUCCCUGUGGGAUCACCCGAAACUCACUUUUACUGACCUCCUUUACUCCCUCACCAGUUGGUUUCCCUCAAAAGAAUCUCCAUAAUAAAUAUUUGCCCUAAGCCCUCAUCUGGAGGUCUGUUUCUCGGACAACUCAACCUAAAGUGAAAGCAUACAAAGAAAGGGAAAGGGAAGAGGUUAAGUGUAGAGGCAGAAACUCAGUACCAAUGGAAAGAAGAGGCCGUGCAGGGAUCCACAGCAGCAAGGCAGGUGGAAGUCUAGACGUCCUUACAAGACUCCUGGUCCACACUGUUGGGUGCCCUGGGUGUGGAGUUGGGGGAGGGGGCGGGGGGAAGCUCGGUUCCAACAAGCUCAUUAUACAAAAUGUCCCACAGACCCAGAGUGAGAAAGAUCCUUUGGGAAGAGGUUUGGGAUCACAAAUGGGUGUGGGCAAAUUUUGAGCUCCUUUAGUGAAGCUGUCACGACAGCACAGGCAAACAGGAUGGAGACUGUGACCCGAUGUCAGGGAGGGGACCGUCACCUGUAUUUUUCCCAACAGACUUCUAAGGUAAGAGGAUGUUUUAUUGUAUAAAUAUUUAUAUUCCUUUGUGCUUAGCACGUCUUGCAUAUAAAAGCUAUGCGAGACAAGCUGAAUAAUAAGACCUUAAUAGGAAUGGUCACAGCACCUGUUUUUAUGGGGUAACAACUCUUCCCUCCUGUGCCAGGAAACAAUGUGUGUCUAUAGCAGGGGAGAAAGGACACUACGUUCCUUUUCCUGCCUAUUUUUACAAGCACCGAAAUACACCCUCUAAUUGCAAGCCACAGUUCAAUUCUGACAUAUAUAAAUACAAUUGUUUACUAGUAGGUAUGUGUCUAAAAAGAAUAAAAUCUCCCUUUUGUGGAUAUAACA